GAUGAACGCUAGCUACAGGCUUAACACAUGCAAGUCGAGGGGUAACGAGAGGGAAGCUUGCUUUCCUUGUCGACGACCGGCGCACGGGUGAGUAACGCGUACCCAACCUGCCCCCAACUAGGGAAUAACCUUGCGAAAGUAAGACUAAUACCCUAUAAUUUCCUCAGAUGUCAUCUGACGAGGAAUAAAGAUUUAUCGGUUGUGGAUGGGGAUGCGUCAGAUUAGCUUGUUGGCGGGGUAACGGCCCACCAAGGCAACGAUCAGUAGGGGUUCUGAGAGGAAGGUCCCCCACAUUGGAACUGAGACACGGUCCGAACUCCUACGGGAGGCAGCAGUGAGGAAUAUUGGUCAAUGGGCGGAAGCCUGAACCAGCCAAGUAGCGUGCAGGAUGACGGCCCUAUGGGUUGUAAACUGCUUUUAUACAGGAAUAAAGUUAGCCACGUGUGGUUAUUUGUAGGUACUGUAUGAAUAAGGACCGGCUAAUUCCGUGCCAGCAGCCGCCGUAA
RNAcentral lists this ribosomal RNA (506 nucleotides) under uncultured bacterium. Its description in RNAcentral is "partial 16S ribosomal RNA". It matches the Rfam family "Bacterial small subunit ribosomal RNA", at positions 28 to 523 of the family's 1533-position model. The record is from RNAcentral.